This 230-nucleotide ribosomal RNA is filed under the name uncultured bacterium. RNAcentral describes it as "partial 16S ribosomal RNA". It matches the Rfam family "Bacterial small subunit ribosomal RNA", at positions 568 to 796 of the family's 1533-position model. The record is from RNAcentral.
CUCGUAGGCGGCUCAGCAAGUCGGUCGUGAAAGCCCGAGGCUCAACCUCGGGAUGCCGAUCGAAACUGCUGUGGCUAGGGUCCGGUAGAGGAGAGUGGAAUUCCCGGUGUAGCGGUGAAAUGCGCAGAUAUCGGGAGGAACACCAGUAGCGAAGGCGGCUCUCUGGGCCGGUACCGACGCUGAGGAGCGAAAGCUAGGGGAGCAAACAGGAUUAGAUACCCUGGUAGUCC